This 468-nucleotide ribosomal RNA is filed under the name uncultured bacterium. Its description in RNAcentral is "partial 16S ribosomal RNA". It matches the Rfam family "Bacterial small subunit ribosomal RNA", at positions 28 to 507 of the family's 1533-position model. The record is from RNAcentral.
GACGAACGCUGGCGGCGUGCUUAACACAUGCAAGUCGAACGGAAAGGCCCUGCUUUUGCGGGGUGCUCGAGUGGCGAACGGGUGAGUAACACGUGAGUAACCUGCCCUUGACUUUGGGAUAACUUCAGGAAACUGGGGCUAAUACCGGAUAGGAGCUCCUGCUGCAUGGUGGGGGUUGGAAAGUUUCGGCGGUUGGGGAUGGACUCGCGGCUUAUCAGCUUGUUGGUGGGGUAGUGGCUUACCAAGGCUUUGACGGGUAGCCGGCCUGAGAGGGUGACCGGCCACAUUGGGACUGAGAUGCGGCCCAGACUACUACGGGAGGCAGCAGUGGGGAAUAUUGCACGAUGGGCGGAAGCCUGAUGCAGCAACGCCGCGUGCGGGAUGACGGCCUUCGGGUUGUAAACCGCUUUCGCCUGUGACGAAGCGUGAGUGACGGUAAUGGGUAAAGAAGCACCGGCUAACUACGUG